GUGCUCACUUUGGCAGCACAUAAACUAAAGUUGGAACUGUACAGAGAAAAUCAGCAUGGCCCCUGCACAAGGAUGACAUGCAAAUUCAUGAAGCAUUCCGUAUUUUU
Molecule: small nuclear RNA, 107 nt
Organism: Camelus dromedarius (Arabian camel)
Lineage: Eukaryota; Metazoa; Chordata; Mammalia; Artiodactyla; Camelidae
Source: Ensembl